Molecule: ribosomal RNA, 253 nt
Filed under: uncultured bacterium
Lineage: Bacteria
Description: partial 16S ribosomal RNA
Rfam family: Bacterial small subunit ribosomal RNA
Source: RNAcentral
UACAGAGGUCUCAAGCGUUGUUCGGAUUCAUUGGGCGUAAAGGGUGCGUAGGCGGCGCGGUAAGUCGGGCGUGAAAUCUCGGAGCUUAACUCCGAAACUGCAUUCGAUACUGCCGUGCUUGAGGACUGGAGAGGAGACUGGAAUUUACGGUGUAGCGGUGAAAUGCGUAGAUAUCGUAAGGAAGACCAGUGGCGAAGGCGAGUUUCUGGACAGUUACUGACGCUGAGGCACGAAGGCCAGGGGAGCAAACGGG